AGAUGAGUUCUCCCUGAGACUUUAAGUCUCCUGAAGGAACGUUGAAGACGACGACGUUGAUAGGUCGGGUGUGUAAGUGUAGCGAUACAUUGAGCUAACCGAUACUAAUGAACCGUGAGGCUUAACCUU
Molecule: ribosomal RNA, 129 nt
Filed under: Citrobacter freundii
Lineage: Bacteria; Pseudomonadati; Pseudomonadota; Gammaproteobacteria; Enterobacterales; Enterobacteriaceae
Description: partial 23S ribosomal RNA
Rfam family: Bacterial large subunit ribosomal RNA
Source: RNAcentral